RNAcentral lists this ribosomal RNA (359 nucleotides) under uncultured Methanosaeta sp. RNAcentral's name for it is "bacterial SSU rRNA". It matches the Rfam family "Archaeal small subunit ribosomal RNA", at positions 979 to 1338 of the family's 1478-position model. Lineage: Archaea; Methanobacteriati; Methanobacteriota; Methanomicrobia; Methanotrichales; Methanotrichaceae. The record is from RNAcentral.
GCUGAGAGGUGGUGCAUGCCGUCGUCAGUUCGUACUGUGAAGCAUCCUGUUAAGUCAGGCAACGAGCGAGACCCACGCCCACAGUUGCCAGCGUACUCUCUGGAGUGACGGGUACACUGUGGGGACCGCCGCUGCUAAAGCGGAGGAAGGAAUGGGCAACGGUAGGUCAGUAUGCCCCGAAUAUCCCGGGCUACACGCGAGCUACAAUGGUUGGUACAAUGGGUAUCUACCCCGAAAGGGGACGGGAAUCUCCUAAAACCAAUCUUAGUUCGGAUUGAGGGCUGCAACUCGCCCUCAUGAAGCUGGAAUCCGUAGUAAUCGCGUUUCAACAGAACGCGGUGAAUACGUCCCUGCUCCUU